Molecule: ribosomal RNA, 758 nt
Filed under: uncultured Bacteroidales bacterium
Lineage: Bacteria; Pseudomonadati; Bacteroidota; Bacteroidia; Bacteroidales
Description: bacterial SSU rRNA
Rfam family: Bacterial small subunit ribosomal RNA
Source: RNAcentral
GAUGAACGCUAGCUACAGGCUUAACACAUGCAAGUCGAGGGGCAGCAUGAUUGAAGCUUGCUUCAAUUGAUGGCGACCGGCGCACGGGUGAGUAACACGUAUCCAACCUGCCGAUAACUCGGGGAUAGCCUUUCGAAAGAAAGAUUAAUACCCGAUAGUAUAGUAUUUCCGCAUGGUUUCACUAUUAAAGAAUUUCGGUUAUCGAUGGGGAUGCGUUCCAUUAGAUAGUUGGCGGGGUAACGGCCCACCAAGUCAACGAUGGAUAGGGGUUCUGAGAGGAAGGUCCCCCACAUUGGAACUGAGACACGGUCCAAACUCCUACGGGAGGCAGCAGUGAGGAAUAUUGGUCAAUGGACGAGAGUCUGAACCAGCCAAGUAGCGUGAAGGAUGACUGCCCUAUGGGUUGUAAACUUCUUUUAUACGGGAAUAAAGUGGAGUAUGCAUACUCCUUUGUAUGUACCGUAUGAAUAAGGAUCGGCUAACUCCGUGCCAGCAGCCGCGGUAAUACGGAGGAUCCGAGCGUUAUCCGGAUUUAUUGGGUUUAAAGGGAGCGUAGGCGGGUGCUUAAGUCAGUUGUGAAAGUUUGCGGCUCAACCGUAAAAUUGCAGUUGAUACUGGGCGCCUUGAGUGCAGCAUAGGUAGGCGGAAUUCGUGGUGUAGCGGUGAAAUGCUUAGAUAUCACGAAGAACUCCGAUUGCGAAGGCAGCUUACUGGACUGUAACUGACGCUGAUGCUCGAAAGUGUGGGUAUCAGACAGG